GACGAACGCUGGCGGCGUGCCUAAUACAUGCAAGUAGAACGCUGAAGGAGGAGCUUGCUUCUCUGGAUGAGUUGCGAACGGGUGAGUAACGCGUAGGUAACCUGCCUGGUAGCGGGGGAUAACUAUUGGAAACGAUAGCUAAUACCGCAUAAUAUUGACUAUUGCAUGAUAGUCAGUUGAAAGGUGCAACUGCACCACUACCAGAUGGACCUGCGUUGUAUUAGCUAGUUGGUGGGGUAACGGCUCACCAAGGCGACGAUGCAUAGCCGACCUGAGAGGGUGAUCGGCCACACUGGGACUGAGACACGGCCCAGACUCCUACGGGAGGCAGCAGUAGGGAAUCUUCGGCAAUGGACGGAAGUCUGACCGAGCAACGCCGCGUGAGUGAAGAAGGUUUUCGGAUCGUAAAGCUCUGUUGUAAGAGAAGAACGAGUGUGAGAGUGGAAAGCUCACACUGUGACGGUAUCUUACCAGAAAGGGACGGCUAACUACGUG
This 495-nucleotide ribosomal RNA is filed under the name uncultured bacterium. Its description in RNAcentral is "partial 16S ribosomal RNA". It matches the Rfam family "Bacterial small subunit ribosomal RNA", at positions 28 to 507 of the family's 1533-position model. The record is from RNAcentral.